This 923-nucleotide long non-coding RNA is filed under the name Heterocephalus glaber (naked mole-rat). Its description in RNAcentral is "lncRNA (ENSHGLG00100029137.2)". Lineage: Eukaryota; Metazoa; Chordata; Mammalia; Rodentia; Bathyergidae. The record is from RNAcentral.
CAAAAAGACCUGUUUUGGAGAACAUGGAAAUCAAAACUCACAAAAUUAGUUUAAGAUAACAUUUCUGAUUAUUAGCUACCCAAGUUAAAACCUCCCUAAGGAAAAAUCUUCCAUCCUAAUUCCCCAAGAAAUCUUACAAAUAAUUUUUCAAGGGAUACCAUAAUAUGAGAGAGAGGGAUAGUAUGUGGAUUGAGGAAGUUCCUACUUUCCAACGUCUGCUCACUAGGUCCAGGAGAAGACCAUCUACAGCACUUGCUCCUAAUAUUCUCAGUGUUUUGAGAGCAGUAGACCCAGAAGGAUCUAUUAGGGAUAUUGUGAUGUUCCUGACUCCACUCCCAUCAUUACAGAGAGCUGACCACCAUCUCCUACUGCGCUAGUCAGGGAGUCCUGCAGGAUCCAGAGGAGAUUGGGGUGAUAACGCAGACUCCACUCUUCCUAUCAUCCCUGCACAGCCAACCUUCAUCUCAGGAAGAGAUCACGUGUGCACUUUCACAGCUGUGCCUGGAGCCACUGCAUGGUUCAUAGGGAAGUGGGGCAUCAUGUGGGGCUUUCGGUCUUCAACCAUUUCUUCAUUAGUAAAUAUUCUUGCCCAAUGCUACAUGGGUCAUGUCACGUAUUUCCAAUUAAUUCAACAGGGCAUAGGUGAACUUCAAAAUGUGAACUGCCCUCUUCAUGUACCUGGCGAUGAAUACAGACAGGUGUUCAUUCAGGAAAGAUCUUUUAGUUCAACUGUGUGUUAAAUCUCCCUCUGUCUUUCUCUUUUGAGAACAUCUGAAAUUGCAUUGGGGGCCAACUGGUACACACAGGACAAUCUUUGACCUAGCAUAAAUGCUCUUUUUUAACAUCUGCAAAGGCCUUUUUCCCAAAUUGACAGCCUCCACAUAAUAAUAUUUGAGAGUGUAUUAAUCAUUACUGCAUCUACU